GCUCCAUGUACAGCACUUUGUAUGCAGCGAUGGCUGUUUGAAAGUGCUCUAUAAAUACAGCUGAGUUGACAAGACAUUUUUCACAACAGGGGGUUUUUCACUGUAACAAAUUUGAUCUCAGAUGUAAACACACACACACACACACACACACAAAC
Molecule: long non-coding RNA, 155 nt
Organism: Hippocampus zosterae (dwarf seahorse)
Lineage: Eukaryota; Metazoa; Chordata; Actinopteri; Syngnathiformes; Syngnathidae
Exons: 2
Source: RefSeq, a predicted model, not a curated record